RNAcentral lists this ribosomal RNA (760 nucleotides) under uncultured Bacilli bacterium. RNAcentral's name for it is "bacterial SSU rRNA". It matches the Rfam family "Bacterial small subunit ribosomal RNA", at positions 28 to 773 of the family's 1533-position model. The record is from RNAcentral. Lineage: Bacteria; Bacillati; Bacillota; Bacilli.
GACGAACGCUGGCGGCGUGCCUAAUACAUGCAAGUAGAACGCUGAAGGAGGAGCUUGCUUCUCCGGAUGAGUUGCGAACGGGUGAGUAACGCGUAGGUAACCUGCCUGGUAGCGGGGGAUAACUAUUGGAAACGAUAGCUAAUACCGCAUAACAGUAGAUGUUGCAUGACAUUUGCUUAAAAGGUGCAAUUGCACCACUACCAGAUGGACCUGCGUUGUAUUAGCUAGUUGGUGGGGUAACGGCUCACCAAGGCGACGAUACAUAGCCGACCUGAGAGGGUGAUCGGCCACACUGGGACUGAGACACGGCCCAGACUCCUACGGGAGGCAGCAGUAGGGAAUCUUCGGCAAUGGACGGAAGUCUGACCGAGCAGCGCCGCGUGAGUGAAGAAGGUUUUCGGAUCGUAAAGCUCUGUUGUAAGAGAAGAACGAGUGUGAGAGUGGAAAGUUCACACUGUGACGGUAUCUUACCAGAAAGGGACGGCUAACUACGUGCCAGCAGCCGCGGUAAUACGUAGGUCCCGAGCGUUGUCCGGAUUUAUUGGGCGUAAAGCGAGCGCAGGCGGUUAGAUAAGUCUGAAGUUAAAGGCUGUGGCUUAACCAUAGUACGCUUUGGAAACUGUUUAACUUGAGUGCAAGAGGGGAGAGUGGAAUUCCAUGUGUAGCGGUGAAAUGCGUAGAUAUAUGGAGGAACACCGGUGGCGAAAGCGGCUCUCUGGCUUGUAACUGACGCUGAGGCUCGAAAGCGUGGGGAGCAAAC